UUUGCUAAUCAUCAGGGCUUCCACAAACCAUGAGUGACACCUAGCAGCAUGUCAUGGUUACCCAAGUUAAGUAGAAUUGGUUGGAGAACCUAUCCAGUUACAACUACAAUGCAAUACGGUCAUUCUCUAAUACAAUACUCUUAAUCACAUUGUUUAAGUGAUAGUUUGUUUCAUGUCUACUAUCCAAUGUGAUACAUCUCCAUAUGAUUCUUUUGAAUAAGAUUUGGAACAAACUUCCUAAGUCAUAUUCAUAUGCUUUGGCCAAAGACUCUCGAAUCACAUCUUAGAGUAUUCUCCUUCCUGUUGGAAAUAUGCCCUGAAAGUCAAUCUUUGGAAGAAACCUUUCAGGACAAAUGAAUGGAUGUAUAGAUGAUUCUUAUACAUCAAAUGGCAAAGAUACUAAUUAGGACUAUCUCAAUAAACGAUAUAUGUCCUAAAUAGUGAAUCCAUGGACAAUGGAUCGAUUGAAGAAGUAAUCUAAUGAUGUUAGACUACAGAGACCUUCUUCACAUAACCAUAAUGUCCAAAAAGGUUCCUGGUCAUUGGAUUGUCGAAGGGAUGAUAGACGCAUAUUUAUGCGACUUAGUUAACUAGUUUUCUUGCAUUUACGUUAUUAGUUCUUAGUUAUUUUAGUACUUUAAGCCAUUUUCGUGUGUUUGUAGGUCCAAAGGGUUAAGGUAGAAAGAAAGUGCAUUUUGGUGCAUUUUGGAGCAGUUUUGAGCUUGGAAUGGAUUACUUAUGAUAUGAGCAAGAUGGAUGGACGAAUUUGAAGAAAAAAGAGGCUAGGAACAUGCUAAAAAUCUGGUGAAACAAAUACAAGUUGCAAGAAGGGAUAAAUUUCUAGAAG
RNAcentral lists this long non-coding RNA (847 nucleotides) under Malus domestica (apple). RNAcentral's name for it is "long non-coding RNA (MDOM_LNC019658)". The record is from RNAcentral. Lineage: Eukaryota; Viridiplantae; Streptophyta; Magnoliopsida; Rosales; Rosaceae.